AGAGUUUGAUCCUGGCUCAGAAUGAACGUUGGCGGCGUGGAUUAGGCAUGCAAGUCGAACGGGCCUGGUAGCAAUAUCAGGUCAGUGGCGUAAGGGUGAGUAAGGCGACGGCAACCAACCCCAUGGUUGGGCAUAGCCGCGGGAAACUGCGGGUAAUUCCCAGCGAUGUUCGUGCCGGGCAUCCGGCGUGAACCAAAGUUUCGGCGCCGUGGGACGGGCCGUCGUGGUAUUAGGUAGUUGGCGGGGUAAUGGCCCACCAAGCCUCUGAUGCCUACCGGGCGUGCGAGCGUGGCCCGGCACACUGGGACUGAGACACUGCCCAGACUCCUACGGGAGGCUGCAGUCGAGAAUCUUCGGCAAUGGGCGCAAGCCUGACCGAGCGACGCCGCGUGGAGGAUGAAGGCCUUCGGGUUGUAAACUCCUGUCGAGGGG
RNAcentral lists this ribosomal RNA (432 nucleotides) under uncultured bacterium. RNAcentral describes it as "bacterial SSU rRNA". It matches the Rfam family "Bacterial small subunit ribosomal RNA", at positions 8 to 443 of the family's 1533-position model. The record is from RNAcentral.